ACGUAGGGAGCAAGCGUUGUUCGGAUUUACUGGGCGUAAAGGGCGCGUAGGCGGCCUGUCAAGUCAAUUGUGAAAUCUCCGAGCUUAACUCGGAGCGGUCAGCUGAUACUGCUUUGCUAGAGUGCAGAAAGGGCAAUCGGAAUUCUUGGUGUAGCGGUGAAAUGCGUAGAUAUCAAGAGGAACACCUGAGGCGAAGGCGGGUUGCUAGGCUGACACUGACGCUGAGGCGCGAAAGCCAGGGGAGCAAACGGGA
RNAcentral lists this ribosomal RNA (253 nucleotides) under uncultured prokaryote. Its description in RNAcentral is "partial 16S ribosomal RNA". It matches the Rfam family "Bacterial small subunit ribosomal RNA", at positions 525 to 777 of the family's 1533-position model. The record is from RNAcentral.